This 119-nucleotide ribosomal RNA is filed under the name Triticum aestivum (bread wheat). RNAcentral also lists the same sequence under 1 other name. The record is from RNAcentral. Lineage: Eukaryota; Viridiplantae; Streptophyta; Magnoliopsida; Poales; Poaceae.
UGAUGCGAUCAUACCAGCACUAAAGCACCGGAUCCCAUCAGAACUCCGAAGUUAAGCGUGCUUGGGCGAGAGUACUACUAGGAUGGGUGACCUCCUGGGAAGUCCUCGUGUUGCAUUCC